Molecule: ribosomal RNA, 745 nt
Filed under: Saccharomycetaceae sp. LM250
Lineage: Eukaryota; Fungi; Ascomycota; Saccharomycetes; Saccharomycetales; Saccharomycetaceae
Description: bacterial SSU rRNA
Rfam family: Eukaryotic small subunit ribosomal RNA (bases 1-355)
Source: RNAcentral
ACGUUCUGGGCCGCACGCGCGCUACACUGACGGAGCCAGCGAGUCUAACCUUGGCCGAGAGGUCUGGGUAAUCUUGUGAAACUCCGUCGUGCUGGGGAUAGAGCAUUGUAAUUAUUGCUCUUCAACGAGGAAUUCCUAGUAAGCGCAAGUCAUCAGCUUGCGUUGAUUACGUCCCUGCCCUUUGUACACACCGCCCGUCGCUAGUACCGAUUGAAUGGCUUAGUGAGGCCUCAGGAUCUGCUUAGAGAAGGGGGCAACUCCAUCUCAGAGCGGAGAAUCUGGUCAAACUUGGUCAUUUAGAGGAACUAAAAGUCGUAACAAGGUUUCCGUAGGUGAACCUGCGGAAGGAUCAUUAGAGAAAUCUAUAUGAAUGAAGUUAGAGGACGACGUCUAAAGAUACUGUAAGAGAGGAUCAGGUUCAAGACCAGCGCUUAAUUGCGCGGUUGCGGCUUGGUUCGCCUUUUGCGGAACAUGUCUUUUCUCGUUGUUAACUCUACUUCAACUUCUACAACACUGUGGAGUUUUCUACACAACUUUUCUUCUUUGGGAAGAUACGUCUUGUGCGUGCUUCCCAGAGGUGACAAACACAAACAACUUUUUAUUAUUAUAAACCAGUCAAAACCAAUUUCGUUAUGAAAUUAAAAAUAUUUAAAACUUUCAACAACGGAUCUCUUGGUUCUCGCAUCGAUGAAAAACGCAGCGAAAUGCGAUACGUGAUGUGAAUUGCAGAAUUCCGUGGAUCAUC